UAGAUAUGCUUCCACACACUCACUCUCUUCUCCAACUCUUCUACACUCUCAUUUGAUUAGUCUGGCGCAGCGCCAGACUACAUUUGACCAUGCUACCCCGACCCGAGCUUCAUGACCUGGCAGUGGAGAAUUCUCAGAUUCUUUUGCUGUAGAUUUUGUGUUGCGCCCAUUGCAUUGGUGGUGUGGCUAGUGCUUCCUAAUACUCAAAGAUGGUGUCAGCUCUGAAUCUGAGAGUGGUCCUGCUGCAUCAGGUUCACACAACUUGUUGGAUGGAAUGGCUAAUUCUGUCAGAAAAGAUGGUGUUCUCUCUUUUCUCUCAUUGGGUAAUUGCAGAAUAAGGAACAAGUAUAACAAGAAAAGGAAGUUGGAUGUAAAGUAUCAAGUAAAGAUGAACAGGUAUGC
Amphimedon queenslandica is the source of this 402-nucleotide long non-coding RNA. RefSeq lists it as uncharacterized. The transcript is spliced from 3 exons. Lineage: Eukaryota; Metazoa; Porifera; Demospongiae; Haplosclerida; Niphatidae. The record is from RefSeq and is a predicted model, not a curated record.